Trichuris muris is the source of this 116-nucleotide non-coding RNA. Lineage: Eukaryota; Metazoa; Nematoda; Enoplea; Trichinellida; Trichuridae. The record is from Rfam.
UUUGCAGCUACGGGGACAUGGUUCCGUCAACAAUGGUCGGCAAAGUAAUCGGCGGCGUCUGCUCCCUGAGCGGCGUCCUGGUGAUCGCCCUUCCCGUCCCCGUGAUCGUCUCCAAC